This 757-nucleotide ribosomal RNA is filed under the name uncultured bacterium. RNAcentral describes it as "bacterial SSU rRNA". It matches the Rfam family "Bacterial small subunit ribosomal RNA", at positions 8 to 766 of the family's 1533-position model. The record is from RNAcentral.
AGAGUUUGAUCCUGGCUCAGGACGAACGCUGGCGGCGCGCCUAACACAUGCAAGUCGAACGAGAAUCAGCUGAUGAAGUUUUCGAAUGGAUUCGGUUGAGGAAAGUGGCGAACGGGCGAGUAACGCGUGAGCAACCUACCUUGUACUGGGGGAUAACGUCGGGAAACCGGCGCUAAUACCGCAUAACAUUACGAUAGCGCAUGUUAUUGUAAUCAAAGCUUUAGUGGUACGAGACGGGCUCGCGUCCAAUUAGCUAGUUGGUGAGGUAAAGGCUCACCAAGGCGACGAUUGGUAGCCGAACUGAGAGGUUGAUCGGCCGCAUUGGGACUGAGACACGGCCCAGACUCCUACGGGAGGCAGCAGUGGGGAAUAUUGCGCAAUGGGGGAAACCCUGACGCAGCGACGCCGCGUGAAGGAAGAAGGCCUUCGGGUUGUAAACUUCUUUGAUCGGGGACGAAGAUGACGGUACCCGAGGAACAAGCCACGGCUAACUACGUGCCAGCAGCCGCGGUAAUACGUAGGUGGCAAGCGUUGUCCGGAAUUACUGGGCGUAAAGGGCGUGUAGGCGGGGGGACAAGUCAGAUGUGAAAUACCGCGGCUUAACUGCGGGGGUGCAUCUGAAACUGUUCUUCUUGAGUGUCGGAGAGGAAAGUGGAAUUCCCAGUGUAGCGGUGAAAUGCGUAGAGAUUGGGAGGAACACCAGUGGCGAAGGCGGCUUUCUGGACGAUAACUGACGCUGAGGCGCGAAAGCGUGGGG